Molecule: small nuclear RNA, 19 nt
Filed under: Arabidopsis thaliana (thale cress)
Lineage: Eukaryota; Viridiplantae; Streptophyta; Magnoliopsida; Brassicales; Brassicaceae
Description: snRNA_12703
Source: RNAcentral
GCCGCUAAGAAGAAAUGUA